Molecule: transfer RNA, 71 nt
Filed under: Loxodonta africana (African savanna elephant)
Lineage: Eukaryota; Metazoa; Chordata; Mammalia; Proboscidea; Elephantidae
Rfam family: tRNA
About the family: Transfer RNA (tRNA) molecules are approximately 80 nucleotides in length. Their secondary structure includes four short double-helical elements and three loops (D, anti-codon, and T loops).
Source: Rfam by way of RNAcentral
GCAUUGGUGGUUCAGUGGUAGGACUCUUGCCUUCCGUGUAGGAGGUCUGAGUUCCAUUCCCAGCCAAUUCC